CUACGGGAGGCAGCAGUGGGGGAUAUUGCACAGUGGGCGAAAGCCUGAUGCAGCAACGCCGCGUGAGUGAAGAAGGCUUUCGAGUCGUAAAACUCUGUCGUAUGGGAAGAAAAAAAUGACAGUACCAUACAAGAAAGCCCCGGCUAACUACGUGCCAGCAGCCGCGGUAAUACGUAGGGGGCAAGCGUUAUCCGGAAUUACUGGGCGUAAAGGGUGCGUAGGCGGUUUACUAAGUCAAGGUUAAAAGGCAAUAGCUCAACUAUUGUUCGGCCUUGAAACUAGUGAACUUGAGUAUAGGAGAGGAAAGUGGAAUUCCCAGUGUAGCGGUGAAAUGCGUAGAUAUUGGGAGGAAUACCGGUGGCGAAGGCGACUUUCUGGACUAAAACUGACGCUGAGGCACGAAAGCGUGGGUAGCAAACAGGAUUAGAAACCCUAGUAGUCC
Molecule: ribosomal RNA, 442 nt
Filed under: uncultured bacterium
Lineage: Bacteria
Description: bacterial SSU rRNA
Rfam family: Bacterial small subunit ribosomal RNA
Source: RNAcentral